RNAcentral lists this ribosomal RNA (265 nucleotides) under uncultured bacterium. RNAcentral's name for it is "partial 16S ribosomal RNA". It matches the Rfam family "Bacterial small subunit ribosomal RNA", at positions 35 to 305 of the family's 1533-position model. The record is from RNAcentral.
GCUGGCGGCAGGCCUAACACAUGCAAGUCGAGCGAGAAAGCACUUCGGUGCGAGUACAGCGGCGGACGGGUGAGUAACGCGUAGGAAUCUACCCAGUAGUGGGGGACAACUCGAGGAAACUCGAGCUAAUACCGCAUAAUCCUUACGAGGGAAAGCAGGGGAUCUUCGGACCUUGUGCUAUUAGAUGAGCCUGCGUCGGAUUAGCUUGUUGGUAGGGUAAUGGCCUACCAAGGCAACGAUCCGUAGCUGGUCUGAGAGGACGACC